This 257-nucleotide ribosomal RNA is filed under the name uncultured eukaryote. Its description in RNAcentral is "partial 18S rRNA". It matches the Rfam family "Eukaryotic small subunit ribosomal RNA", at positions 324 to 584 of the family's 1831-position model. The record is from RNAcentral.
GAUGGUAGUGUAUUGGACCACCAUGGCAGUCACGGGUAACGGAGAAUUAGGGUUCGGUUCCGGAGAGGGAGCCUGAGAAACGGCUACCACAUCUAAGGAAGGCAGCAGGCGCGUAAAUUACCCAAUCGCGACUCGCGGAGGUAGUGACAAGAAAUAACGGACCGAAGCCUAUGUUUCGGGAUUGCAAUGAGUAGAAUUUAAACCCCUUUACGAGGAUCAAUUGGAGGGCAAGUCUGGUGCCAGCAGCCGCGGUAAUA